GAGUUUGAUCCUGGCUCAGGAUGAACGCUAGCGGCAGGCUUAACACAUGCAAGUCGAGGGGUAUAGAGAGCUUGCUCUUUAGAGACCGGCGCACGGGUGCGUAACGCGUAUGCAAUCUACCUUUUACAGCGGGAUAGCCCAGAGAAAUUUGGAUUAAUACCGCAUAGUAUAACGACUCGGCAUCGAGAUGUUAUUAAAGUCACAACGGUAAAAGAUGAGCAUGCGUCCCAUUAGCUAGUUGGUAAGGUAACGGCUUACCAAGGCUACGAUGGGUAGGGGUCCUGAGAGGGAGAUCCCCCACACUGGUACUGAGACACGGACCAGACUCCUACGGGAGGCAGCAGUGAGGAAUAUUGGUCAAUGGACGCAAGUCUGAACCAGCCAUGCCGCGUGCAGGAUGACGGUCCUAUGGAUUGUAAACUGCUUUUGUACGAGAAGAAACAACUCUACGUGUAGAGUCUUGACGGUAUCGUAAGAAUAAGGAUCGGCUAACUCCGUGCCAGCAGCCGCGGUAAUACGGAGGAUCCAAGCGUUAUCCGGAAUCAUUGGGUUUAAAGGGUCCGUAGGCGGUCUUAUAAGUAAUCCCGCGG
RNAcentral lists this ribosomal RNA (590 nucleotides) under uncultured Bacteroidota bacterium. Its description in RNAcentral is "bacterial SSU rRNA". It matches the Rfam family "Bacterial small subunit ribosomal RNA", at positions 9 to 607 of the family's 1533-position model. Lineage: Bacteria; Pseudomonadati; Bacteroidota. The record is from RNAcentral.